RNAcentral lists this long non-coding RNA (565 nucleotides) under Rattus norvegicus (Norway rat). Its description in RNAcentral is "long non-coding RNA NONRATT020174". Lineage: Eukaryota; Metazoa; Chordata; Mammalia; Rodentia; Muridae. The record is from RNAcentral.
CAUUAUGCACUAGUUACAUCUUUGGUAAAACCAAUCUCCAAAACGAAGACUUAAUACAUGCUUGUUUUUAUAAAACACACCUAUCUGUAGUUGAAGAAAUGGUGGUGUGCGCUCUCUCUCUCUCUCUCUUAUUGCAGAUAUAUAUUUAUUUAUAUAUUGCAAUAAGCUACAGCAUAUUUCAAAAAGAUUAAUAUGUCACUAAGCCUAUAUUUUUUAAUAAAAUCUUGUAUUUUGUUAAGUCCAUCAUCUGCAACUGAGUGGACUUCAAUUUCCGCAGAACCAAUUAUCUUUUUUGGUUCUAAUUUACUGAUAUUUUUUUCCUGUUGGCAAGUUUCAAGAAUGUAUAUUCCUAGAAACAUUUUGUUCCUCAUCGAAGUAAACUGUUAUCAUGUCUGGGGUGGCCCUUUCAUUUAUAGCAAAUGUUCCUUGUGACUGUCAGCACAUGAUAUGUCAUAAGUAUUAUAUCAUUUUAAAGAUUUAAGGAUGAAAAAUGAACAAUUCACAUAUGAACCAUUGCUGAUAUAUUGUUUAAUCCUCUCCCUCUCUGGUGUCCUUGGCAACAACA